RNAcentral lists this ribosomal RNA (280 nucleotides) under uncultured Thermovirga sp. RNAcentral describes it as "partial 16S ribosomal RNA". It matches the Rfam family "Bacterial small subunit ribosomal RNA", at positions 1106 to 1382 of the family's 1533-position model. Lineage: Bacteria; Thermotogati; Synergistota; Synergistia; Synergistales; Thermovirgaceae. The record is from RNAcentral.
CGCAUCCAGUUGCCAUCGGGCGGAGCCGGGCGACUCUGGAGGGACUGCCGGCGACAAGCCGGAGGAAGGUGGGGAUGACGUCAAGUCAUCAUGGCCCUUAUGUCCAGGGCGACACACGUGCUACAAUGGCCGGCACAGCGGGAAGCGGAGGGGCGACCCUGAGCGGAUCCCUUGAAAGCCGGUCCCAGUUCGGAUUGCAGUCUGCAACUCGACUGCAUGAAGUUGGAAUCGCUAGUAAUCGCGGAUCAGCCAAGCCGCGGUGAAUACGUUCCCGGGCCUU